Mauremys reevesii (Reeves's turtle) is the source of this 4282-nucleotide long non-coding RNA. RefSeq lists it as uncharacterized. The record is from RefSeq and is a predicted model, not a curated record. NCBI's taxonomy places the organism in Eukaryota, Metazoa, Chordata, Testudines, Geoemydidae. The transcript is spliced from 5 exons.
GAUUAUACAGGCCAGAGGCACAUGGAGCCUCUUUCCUGGGCUGGCAUUUGUUGAUUGUGGCUGGAUUUAUUGUCUAGGCCAUAAAACAGAUACUUCCCCAAGGCCGUGUAGUGGUUUAGUGCAAGGACAGAACCUCUGCUCGCUUCCCACGGUAUAUUUCUGUCUGACCAGACGGCAGAUGCAGCAUUCAAGGACUUCAGAACCUUUGAUGUAAUUGCUUAAAAAGUAACAUCAUAGCACAUGGGCAGCUCUGCCUGAAAGCGGGAACGUCUGGGCCGUGCUGCGUCGCUCUGUGGGCAAAGGCCAGUCACGCUGGGACCGAGCCCCAGUCUGAGCCCCAGAUUCUCUUGGUGAAAUCGCUCCCCAGGCUGGAGGACGUCUGGAGGGGGAGACCCCACCCCAGGGAGCCUACCCCAGGCAAGCGGGGCCCCUGGGAACUCGGAGAGCCAGAGCCAGCCCCUUUUGGAAGGCUGCAGGGGAAGCAUGACUGAGGUGGAGCCUGUGCUGGACUUUGCAUCCUCUGGGAGGACUGGCCGCAGGAACGCCCUCCCUGACAUCCUGGGCUCGCCGGCCGGCGUCAGCCCCUCCGACCUGCCUCUGAAAUUAGCUGAAAUGUCUCUAAGCUCAGACAGAUCCCAAGAAAUGCAGUCCCCCUCCACAGAGGUGCCCCCGCAGCAGCCCCAAAGCCCAGAGCUGAAGGAUACGUCUUAACACCUCCCCUGGGAUGCACUUCUGACCAGCAGGGAAAGGAGAGACUGUUGAGCAUCAACCCUGCUUGACUGGUGGGGCCUGGAGUUUGCUGGGUUUUCCUUGGUGCUAUGCAGCAAGAACAUCUUGUGUUCCUUGGAGCAGGGGCGUAGAGGAACCUCCAAGGGGGAAUAAGCAACCACGCGUUUGGCAAAGCUGGGGAAAACCCCUGCGGGGAAACGUUUCUUUGGUGGCAUUUAAGGACACGACUUAGGAACCAAGGGUGUUUGAUUGGGGGUAUUUCCUCAUCUUCACACCCGAACAGCUGCCGCCCGCGAUGUCUCCGUGCUAGGAUCGUGACGAGCAACCAAGGGUUGUUCUUAGCUGAGUACGUUUGUUCACUGUGAUGUUCUGGGGCACAAUUUCCUUGUCUUUUCUUUUGUGAUAGAUGAUCCAGUAUCCUUAUUCAGGCCUUCUGACAAGUCUGGGGCAAAUGGCGCAGUGGGGGCCGUAGCAUAUUCUCCUCUCUGGCACCCAAAGGUGAAGCCCUUGUCUGGCAAACAGAAGCGAAUCCCUUCCCAGGCUGGGUCCUGCUUAUGCCGGGACCCAGUGUGACCCCUGCGACUUGCGGGAUAAAGGUACCUGGAGCCCUGGCUCCCUUUAGGAGCUUGCCAACCAAAGGGGAGGACGUUUGGCAGUUUCACCAAAGUCUCAAAGCAGCCAGCAGCCCACACCGGGGCGUAAGUGAUGCCAAUCCACGGAGCUUAGCCCCCCGGGCUUGCCUGGACCCCCCCCCCUCCCCAGCAGCACCCUUGCCCCAGUUGUGGGCAUACUGUGCACAGCUACCUCCCCCACCACUGGCCUUCAGGAGCCCCCAGCCAUGGCUGCCGCCUGAGCUAAUCAGGAGCACCCAGCCCUCAGGACGAAGAACUGAGAAGGGGCGUCAGUGGGUUUCACAGCAAACCCCAGAGGGGGCCGCCCUACACCACAGCAGAGAACCUCGGGCCUAGGGUUUUGCUGCCUAACCACAGGCGUUGUCUAACUGGCAGCACACUGCCCUCUGCAGGGAGAUUGGUGCGUUACACAGCCCCAAAUUCCCAUCCCUUACCGGCCAGGAUGGCAGGGAACGAUCUGCAGGCGGUACAAGGCGCUACUCAGGUUUUAGGGGGGAUUUAAUGUUUGCUUUUCACUACAGGCGUAGAGGGACCCCCCCACCGUGCCUGGAUCCUCCCUGCCCCCGAGAGGAGGAAACCUAGUGGUUUGGCUCAGAUAUACUGUGGCACUUCAGUGAAUGCUGCCGUGGCCACAUGGGGCAGGGUUCUGGAUUGAUAGAGGGCUCCCUCCUGCCCUCUUGCAAUGGUCCCCUCCAGAGGGGAGCUCUGGGACAGAGAGCCCUGGUGUCCUGCUCCACAUGGCCUCUCUUACUGUUCCUGUUGUUUGUAUUGCAGUGGUGCCUAGAAGCCCCUGUCAUGGGCCCAAGGCCCCACUGGGCUGGGCACUGUGCAGACACAGCGGAGACACUCCCAGCCCUGAAGAUCGGGUGUGCAAUGGGCCGUGCCCCAGGCUGCAUGAGGGCUCGUGCUGGCUUUCUCCCCAGCACUGCCUGUGGCCACCUGGCUCGCUGGAGGGAGACAAGCACUAUGCAUCCAUGAGGACUCACUGCCACUGGCCUCGCGUCCAGCCUUGGGCACACAGGAGCCAGGAGAAUAGCCAUAGGCAUGGGAGGGCUCUGCAAUGAUUCCCUCAAAGGAAUUAGUUUAGAUUCAGGCUUUCCCCUCCCACUUGUGUCCCUGGGCUCCCUAACUCCUCCUUUAAGUGGGCACCCUCUGCCUGUGCUGCCAGCCCCUCCAUGGUUGCCUCCAGCCAUGAUCUCUGGUUUGGGUGCUCAGGGGACGAGAGAGGCCCUUUUGGAUUGUUGUCCUUUCCCUGGGGGCUGGGAGCAUCGCCUUUGCUGGCCUUUCACCUUCUGCCAGUGCAAAGGCCAAGGAGUCUGAGGCUGACCUCAGUCUCUGAGAAUGCAGAACUGCUGCCCAGGUUUCUUAUUGAACCUCCUGGGCUACCAGACCCAGCAAACUGAUGUGCAGGACACUCCUUCCUCAUCUGUCACUCUUUCUAAGGCCAGGUCUCCAGCAUGGUAUCUCCUGCCUUGGCACUGGGAAGUUCCUGCUGGGAGAGGACUGAGCCGUGCAGGGGCUCUGGUCUCCCAGCUGUGGAAUCAGGGUAGAGCUCUGUGCCCAGGCAGGACUAGGGUCAUCACAAUACAGCUGGGAUGCAGAAACACAUGGGUGUCGCGAGGAACAAGAUGCUUCUAAUAAACCUGGAAGGACUUUGUGCUGCACAGUAAUACCGGCCCUUUGCCAUUCUCCAGCACCUUCCAUUGGAGGAGCUCAAAGUCCUACACAAAAAGAUCACAUGCACCCAAAAAUACAACCCGACCCUGGUUACAGAUGGGAAUGAAUAUAUCACUGGUCCAAGAUACUUGCUACACCCAGUGUUGGGCAUUUAAAAAACAAAAACCAAAACACUACAGCUCCAUUGAUACACAGAACAACUCCGAAAGGCUUGACAGAGACUUAAGAAAUUCAUUUCUCACAAACUACCUAGGGGACAAACAGACACUUCCUGCCAUUAAAAAAGCUGGUAUUCUCAGCUUUCCAGGGGUAUAAAGCACUAAUUUCUAAUCAUCAAAGGCCAUUUUAUCAGCUCUUUUAAAAUCUCAUCACUCCGAUAACCACCUUGCUUCCCACUCCCCUCUCCGCACACUUGAAUUCCAAUGUGUUUUGGUAGCUGCCAUCUCAAGAACUACUUGAGACAGAAACUGAUGCUGCCUGGCCUCUGGAGUGGAAGCUUGGGAAUCUCAGAUUUCCAAGGGGAUAAAGCGUCAACCUCGAACUUGAAAUACCAGCUGCUAAAAUCACACUGGAAUGACCGUUACAAACGUGCUUUGUUGAUGGGACCAAUACAAAUGGUUUCAGGACCAAUCUGAUUUUUCUAAGCACUGAUCCUACGCUGAAUUUGCAAAACGUCCAUCUGCCAAGAUAUUGCUGGAAGGCUCAGGCCUAGAUUCUGAUCUCAGUGACUACCAGGAUAAAUCUGGAGUAAAUCCAUUGCAGUGAAUGGAGUUAUUCCAAUUUUACACCAGUGAAAAGGAGACCAGACUCUGGCCCCCCACGGCUAAAUAAUGCUUGUAAAAGGAUACUGGAUUUAGCAUCAUUCCUAACACGUAAACAAGAGGUUUCCUGGAUUUAAUGUCUGUGUAAUGUGUAUGUGUGGGUGUGUGUCGGAUGUGUAUAGUGUGUACAUGCUGCUUCCUGGAGCGUCUGAGCACAGCUGGGAACAGAGUGAAUGUGGAGACUAGUUUGUGGUGGACACUUGCGACCAGGGAUUGGGGCUGGGAGGAAGGUCUGAGGACUGGGAUUUCCAAAGGGAAAUUUCAGAUGGGCACAUGCCCCCAGCGCCCAAACCCUCAGAUCUCAUUGGUUUUGACUUGGUUGCUGUCAGGAAUUGAGAUGGGGCGGGGAGUGCAGUGAACAUGGGGGUUCUUUUUUUAAGGGAGCAGCGUGCGUCUCUGGGAGAGUCCCGAGCUGCUCCCACC